UCUUGUUUAAAUGUGAUUGGUUUGAUCUGAUACUUAUUGAAGUUAAUCAUAAGCGAUCUUUUAAUAUAUAUGAACCAUUUGUUCUUGCUAUUCAAACCGCUCAAAUCAAUUAUACGACAUAUCUUAGUUUAAGGCAUGUUGGUGCAGAAUUUCACCGACGCCGGAGAAGCUGGAGUUGAGAUAACCGCGGCCGCCGUCGGGACCUGCAAGGGAAGUCUAAACC
Molecule: long non-coding RNA, 223 nt
Filed under: Elaeis guineensis (African oil palm)
Lineage: Eukaryota; Viridiplantae; Streptophyta; Magnoliopsida; Arecales; Arecaceae
Description: long non-coding RNA (EGUI_LNC020100)
Source: RNAcentral